This 554-nucleotide ribosomal RNA is filed under the name uncultured bacterium. RNAcentral describes it as "partial 16S ribosomal RNA". It matches the Rfam family "Bacterial small subunit ribosomal RNA", at positions 355 to 899 of the family's 1533-position model. The record is from RNAcentral.
UGGGGAAUUUUGGACAAUGGGCGAAAGCCUGAUCCAGCAAUGCCGCGUGUGUGAAGAAGGCCUUCGGGUUGUAAAGCACUUUUGUCCGGAAAGAAAUGGCUCUGGUUAAUACCUGGGGUCGAUGACGGUACCGGAAGAAUAAGGACCGGCUAACUACGUGCCAGCAGCCGCGGUAAUACGUAGGGUCCAAGCGUUAAUCGGAAUUACUGGGCGUAAAGCGUGCGCAGGCGGUUGUGCAAGACCGAUGUGAAAUCCCCGAGCUUAACUUGGGAAUUGCAUUGGUGACUGCACGGCUAGAGUGUGUCAGAGGGGGGUUAGAAUUCCACGUGUAGCAGUGAAAUGCGUAGAGAUGUGGAGGAAUACCGAUGGCGAAGGCAGCCCCCUGGGAUAACACUGACGCUCAUGCACGAAAGCGUGGGGAGCAAACAGGAUUAGAUACCCUGGUAGUCCGCGCCCUAAACGAUGUCAACUAGUUGUUGGGGGAUUCAUUUCCUUAGUAACGCUAGCUAACGCGUGAAGUUGACCGCCUGGGGAGUACGGUCGCAAGNUUAAAA